GUCCUUAGUACCAGCACGUUAUGGUGGGCACUCUAAGGAGACUGCCGGUGACAAACCGGACGGAAGGUGGGGAGUGACGUCAAGUCAUCAUGGCCCUUACGGCCUGGGCUACACACGUGCUACAAUGGUCGGUACAAAGGGUUGCCAAGCCGCGAGGUGGAGCUAAUCCCAUAAAACCGAUCGUAGUCCGGAUCGCAGUCUGCAACUCGACUGCGUGAAGUCGGAAUCGCUAGUAAUCGUGAAUCAGAAUGUCACGGUGAAUACGUUCCCGGGCCUU
RNAcentral lists this ribosomal RNA (277 nucleotides) under uncultured Pseudomonas sp. Its description in RNAcentral is "partial 16S ribosomal RNA". It matches the Rfam family "Bacterial small subunit ribosomal RNA", at positions 1107 to 1382 of the family's 1533-position model. The record is from RNAcentral. Lineage: Bacteria; Pseudomonadati; Pseudomonadota; Gammaproteobacteria; Pseudomonadales; Pseudomonadaceae.